GAUGAACGCUAGCUACAGGCUUAACACAUGCAAGUCGAGGGGAAACGGCAUUAAGUGCUUGCACUUUUUGGACGUCGACCGGCGCACGGGUGAGUAACGCGUAUCCAACCUUCCCAUGACUAAGGGAUAACCUGCCGAAAGGCAGACUAAUACCUUAUGGUCUUCACUGACGGCAUCAGAUGUGAAGUAAAGAUUUAUCGGUUAUGGAUGGGGAUGCGUCUGAUUAGUUAGUUGGCGGGGUAACGGCCCACCAAGGCAACGAUCAGUAGGGGUUCUGAGAGGAAGGUCCCCCACAUUGGAACUGAGACACGGUCCAAACUCCUACGGGAGGCAGCAGUGAGGAAUAUUGGUCAAUGGGCGAGAGCCUGAACCAGCCAAGUAGCGUGCAGGACGACGGCCCUAUGGGUUGUAAACUGCUUUUGUAUGGGGAUAAAGUCAAUCACGUGUGAUUGUUUGCAGGUACCAUACGAAUAAGGACCGGCUAAUUCCGUGCCAGCAGCCGCGGUAAUACGGAAGGUCCGGGCGUUAUCCGGAUUUAUUGGGUUUAAAGGGAGCGUAGGCUGGAGAUUAAGUGUGUUGUGAAAUGUAGACGCUCAACGUCUGACUUGCAGCGCAUACUGGUUUCCUUGAGUACGCACAACGUUGGCGGAAUUCGUCGUGUAGCGGUGAAAUGCUUAGAUAUGACGAAGAACUCCGAUUGCGAAGCAGCUGACGGGAGCGCAACUGACGCUGAAGCUCGAAGGUGCGGGUAUCGAACAGG
Molecule: ribosomal RNA, 760 nt
Filed under: Prevotella melaninogenica
Lineage: Bacteria; Pseudomonadati; Bacteroidota; Bacteroidia; Bacteroidales; Prevotellaceae
Description: bacterial SSU rRNA
Rfam family: Bacterial small subunit ribosomal RNA
Source: RNAcentral